GAUGAACGCUGGCGGCGUGCCUAAUACAUGCAAGUCGAACGAGUUCUCGUUGAUGAUCGGUGCUUGCACCGAGAUUCAACAUGGAACGAGUGGCGGACGGGUGAGUAACACGUGGGUAACCUGCCCUUAAGUGGGGGAUAACAUUUGGAAACAGAUGCUAAUACCGCAUAGAUCCAAGAACCGCAUGGUUCUUGGCUGAAAGAUGGCGUAAGCUAUCGCUUUUGGAUGGACCCGCGGCGUAUUAGCUAGUUGGUGAGGUAAUGGCUCACCAAGGCGAUGAUACGUAGCCGAACUGAGAGGUUGAUCGGCCACAUUGGGACUGAGACACGGCCCAAACUCCUACGGGAGGCAGCAGUAGGGAAUCUUCCACAAUGGACGCAAGUCUGAUGGAGCAACGCCGCGUGAGUGAAGAAGGCUUUCGGGUCGUAAAACUCUGUUGUUGGAGAAGA
RNAcentral lists this ribosomal RNA (449 nucleotides) under Lacticaseibacillus paracasei. RNAcentral's name for it is "bacterial SSU rRNA". It matches the Rfam family "Bacterial small subunit ribosomal RNA", at positions 28 to 448 of the family's 1533-position model. The record is from RNAcentral. Lineage: Bacteria; Bacillati; Bacillota; Bacilli; Lactobacillales; Lactobacillaceae.